GGGUGGAAGACGGUGCCAGCCGCCCGGUAACACGGCACCUCAAGUGUAGCCACUAUUAUGGGCCUAAAGCGUUCGUAGCCGGCUUGUUAAUUCCUGGGUAAAUCGUACCGCUCAACGGUGCGGAUUCCGGGGACACUGCCAGGCUUGAGACCGGGGAGAUCAGAGGUACUUGCGGGGGAGCGGUGAAAUGUUGUAAUCCCGCAGGGACCACCAAUGGCGAAGGCAUCUGAUCAAAACGGCUCUGACGGUGAGGGACGAAACCCUGGGGCGCAAACGGGAUUAGAUACCCCGGUAGUCCAGGGCGUAAACGCUGCUGACUUGGUGUUGGGGGCCCUGCGAGGGCGUCCAGUGCCGGCACGAAGGUAUUGAGUCAGCCGCCUGGGGAGUACGGUCGCAAGACUGAAACUAAAGAAUGGCGGG
Molecule: ribosomal RNA, 420 nt
Filed under: uncultured Sulfolobus sp.
Lineage: Archaea; Thermoproteati; Thermoproteota; Thermoprotei; Sulfolobales; Sulfolobaceae
Description: bacterial SSU rRNA
Rfam family: Archaeal small subunit ribosomal RNA
Source: RNAcentral